This 722-nucleotide ribosomal RNA is filed under the name uncultured bacterium. RNAcentral describes it as "bacterial SSU rRNA". It matches the Rfam family "Bacterial small subunit ribosomal RNA", at positions 134 to 851 of the family's 1533-position model. The record is from RNAcentral.
UGGAGGGGGAUAACUACUGGAAACGGUAGCUAAUACCGCAUAAUGUCGCAAGACCAAAGAGGGGGACCUUCGGGCCUCUUGCCAUCGGAUGUGCCCAGAUGGGAUUAGCUUGUAGGUGAGGUAACGGCUCACCUAGGCGACGAUCCCUAGCUGGUCUGAGAGGAUGACCAGCCACACUGGAACUGAGACACGGUCCAGACUCCUACGGGAGGCAGCAGUGGGGAAUAUUGCACAAUGGGCGCAAGCCUGAUGCAGCCAUGCCGCGUGUAUGAAGAAGGCCUUCGGGUUGUAAUGUACUUUCAGCGGGGAGGAAGGGAGUGAGGUUAAUAACCUUAUUCAUUGACGUUACCCGCAGAAGAAGCACCGGCUAACUCCGUGCCAGCAGCCGCGGUAGUACGGAGGGUGCAAGCGUUAAUCGGAAUUACUGGGCGUAAAGCGCACGCAGGCGGUCUGUCAAGUCGGAUGUGAAAUCCCCGGGCUCAACCUGGGAACUGCAUUCGAAACUGGCAGGCUGGAGUCUUGUAGAGGGGGGUAGAAUUCCAGGUGUAGCGGUGAAAUGCGUAGAGAUCUGGAGGAAUACCGGUGGCGAAGGCGGCCCCCUGGACAAAGACUGACGCUCAGGUGCGAAAGCGUGGGGAGCAAACAGGAUUAGAUACCCUGGUAGUCCACGCUGUAAACGAUGUCGACUUGGAGGUUGUUCCCUUGAGGAGUGGCUUCCGGAG